This 4613-nucleotide long non-coding RNA is filed under the name Podarcis lilfordi (Lilford's wall lizard). The record is from RNAcentral. Lineage: Eukaryota; Metazoa; Chordata; Lepidosauria; Squamata; Lacertidae.
CAUGGCAAUGCCAGCCAUGUUCCUACAGGAAACUGGAGAGGAGGACAGGAAGUGGGAGGGUGCAAGGCUCGCCUGCAGGUAUUUAAAGGCAGGCAAGCCAAGAUGGAAGACAACUUCAAUAUGGCUCCUGGUGGGCUCUGCAGCACAGAGCUCAUAUGAUACAAUACACCUAAAGCACUAUUAUAUAUCUUUAACAGCCACAGCUUCCCCCAAAGAAUCCUGGAAACUGUAGUUAGUUAAAGGUUCCUAGAGUUGUUAGGAGAUUCCCAAUUUCUCUCACAGAGCUACAGUUCUCAGAAUGGUUUAACAACCAGUCCUCUUUCCUGGGGAGCUCUGGAAACUGUAGCUCUGUGAGGGGAAUAAGGGCUGACUACUUUUAGCACCCUUAACAAAUUACAGUUCCCAGGAUUCUGUGUGGGAAGCCAUGACUCUUUUAAGCGUAUGUUGUGGAUGGAUGGAGAGAGAGUGAGAGAAUGAGAGAGGGGGGGAGGAGAAAUGGGUUACUCAACCCCCACCUAUCUAGGGCCCGAAACUUAGAAACACAAAGCUGUGACUCAAACCUAUUAAUGUGUGUAGAGCAAUUAAUUGUCCCAUCUUAAGAAUGGGGACAUACAGUGGUACCUCGGGUUACAUAUGCUUCAGGUUACAUAUGCUUCAGGUUACAGACUCUGCUAACCCAGAAAUAGUACUUCAGGUUAAGAACUUUGCUUCAGGAUGAGAACAAAAAUCGUGCUCUGGAGGCGCGGCGGCAGCAGGAGGCCCCAUUAGCUAAAGUGGUGCUUCAGGUUAAGAACAGUUUCAGGUUAAGUACGGACCUCCGAAACGAAUUAAGUACUUAACCUGAGGUACCACUAUAUUCAGUUCCUUUUGGCGAAACUAAGAAGUUAUUUUAAAAUGAUAACGUUCCCCUGAAGAAGUACAGUUGCAGUUCAGAAUUCAGGCAUAGAACUCACUGAAAACAACUGACAUCAGAACAAUUUCAUGGACCUUAUUACCUCAUGACCUGAAUGGUUAGCAACUUGCCCUUCAGCUCAUGGAAUGACAGCAGCGCCAAUUACACAACUAUUGGCUACAAAAAAUGCAAGGGGGCAGCUCAUCCUGGAUGCAGGAGUCCUCCACUUAUGCUUCAUAAUAUGCAUAUACCGUAUUUUUCUGUCUAUAAGACACCCCCUAUUUUGGGGGACUCAGAUUUAAGAAAAUGGGGGGAGAUGGCCCUGUGUAUAAGAUGCCCCCUAACUUUUGAUAUUAUUUUUUAGGGGGGGAAACUAGUCUUAUACACAGAAAAAUACGGUAGUUGCUAUCACCGUGGCUAGUAACCAUUGCGAUGUUGUUGUUGUUUUGCUAUGCUAUUAUGAAACUGUUAGGAUGCUAUUGUUUUGCUAUGUUGUUAUGAAAUUGACUUUGUUGUGUUUAUUUGAAAUACAUCCCUGUUUCUUUGUUGCAAGCCGCUUUGAGCAAGGAUUUUUUUUUUGGCGGGGGGUAGAAAAUCGACACAAAAAUAAAACAGAUAAAUGGGUGGAUAUUUGCUCAUGUAAAUGUCCCUGGCCAGAGGUCUGCAGCACCCGGCACACACAUCAUCACAAUGGAUCAGAAAAUCUACAAAUACCAAUACGGUGGUACCUCAGAUUAAGUACUUAAUUCGUUCCGGAGGUCCGUACUUAACCUGAAACUGUUCUUAACCUGAAGCACCACUUUAGCUAAUGGGGCCUCCUGCCGCUGCUGCGCCACCGGAGCACAAUUUUUGUUCUCAUCCUGAAGCAAAGUUCUUAACCUGAAGCACUAUUUCUGGGUUAGUGAAGUCUGUAACCUGAAGCAUCUGUAACCUGAAGCGUAUGUAACCCGAGGUACCACUGUAACUGUAGAGGCAGGUUGCAUUACAAGAAGACCCAAUGGGUUUCUUGCUGGAUCCAACUCCUUGUGAGGGUUUAUACUCAACAAAAGGAACAAUUCAAUCAUUUAAACUAUGCAAUACAAACUUUUUUUAAAGGCGUCUUUAAUGACUCUGGUGCUAACCAAUAUCAAAUGUUUCCCCUGCUGAAGACCCAAAUGCUGGCAGCCAGACUGUGACCUUCUACGAAAUGUGGUUUUACACUCUGUUACUAAGCAUGUGAUAAAUUUGCCUAGAUUAGGGAUGGGGGAACUUGGUGUCUAACAACACCUGCAAGGCCAAAGCUCCCAUCAGGCUCAGCCAGAAUGGCCAAUGGCAAGGGGUGGCACGACUCACAGUCCAAAACCUGGAGGGUCACAUGAUCCACAUCCCUGGCCUACUCCUUGUUUACCAAGCGUAAUGAACACCUUGGCAGAGACAAUAGGCUCAGGUGACUUUUCUAUGAAGACGCAGGUUAGGACGACAAUAAGCCUAUAUUUGUUUUGUUAAAAGCACCUUUGGGGACAUUCGUUUUGCCAGCAGAAUACAGUGGUACCUCAGGUUUAGUACUUAAUUCGUUCCGGAGGUCCGUUCUUAACCUGAAACUGUUCUUAACCUGAAGCACCACUUUAGCUAAUGGGGCCUCCUGCUGCCGCCGCACCGCCAGAGCAUGAUUUCUGUUCUCAUCCUGAAGCAAAGUUCUUAACCUGAAGCACUAUUUCUGGGUUAGCGGAGUCUGUAACCUGAAGCGUAUGUAACCUGAAGUGUAUGUAACCCAAGGUACCACUGUAUAUCCCCUGUCGUUCACAGUCAUGUGAAUGGUAAACCCCAACAGGAAAUGGUUAACUGAUCAGAAAAAAGCAAGCCCCUUUUUCCUCUUAUAUGGAGUUCUCAUUAAUCCAGUACAGUAUAAGGUAGCACUUUGCUUACAUUGCAUCUGCCUCUCUGUUGUUAUGUAAUAACUGGGCCAAUUACCACCCAACAAUCGACUUGCCAGAUUGUGCACUCGGGUGCCCUUUUUUUUUUUUUUACCUCCAACUGAGAACAGCCCUCUGCAGUCACUGCUGCAAUCACAGCUUUGCAGUUCCCUUGAAACCCAGCAGGGAAAAAGGAAGGUGGGGAGGGGGGUGGAAUCUCAUGCAUGGGUAAAGAUAGGCAGUCAAGCAGGUACUGCAUGAGACUGGUGGAUAAAGGUUGCCAUCUCCUUCUGCAGGGCUUUUAGGAGACAAGAUCCUGCAAAUCGGUCCCCGGUGAAUGCAAAGCCCGAAUGUCUGAAUGUUGCUUAGAUGUGUCUUGGAUAAAAUCAUAUCCAGCAGCUUUGGUGGUGGGCCAAUGGGGGGGGGGACGAGACACAGGGGUGCCCAGACAGAGGUAGGGCAUGAAGCACAAGAGUCAGAAGCCACCACCGGUGCAAUACACUGAAGCCAAGGCCGCACAUCUGUGCUCAGCAACCCAAAUACAACCAGCAGGAGGGAAACACUUCCUCUGUGGUCAGUCAUUUGCACUCAACUCAUGGGGGGCUGCAGGGAGAGGAGCUUACAGCGCAAUCCUACCCAUCAGUAGUAAGCCCCAAUGCAUUCAUUCAGUGGGGUUUGCUCCCAGGUAAGCCUUAGCCUUCCCCUGCCAGACUAGCAGCUGCCCACCCUUCCUGACACCAAGAGACACAACCACAUAACUCAGAGACCUCCUUCGGACCCACCAGCAAAAUAAACGAAGCCUGGCUACACCAAGCAGAGGAGCAGCGCAUCCCCAACAAGGCUCCUUGAUCAGAUAGAUCACUGCAGCAGCGGAGGGCAGCAGGCUCCUGGCAACAUUUCCCCAACAAGCACAGGGUGAAAGGCACCGCCAGCCUCUCCGCACACAAGCGGUAUGCAAGGGGAAAACUGCACAUAUUUGCAAGUGAAGCUGCAUAGGGAGGCCUGGUCACUUUGCAACUUGGUGUGCCUCACUUCUCUGCCUCCUUCUCUCUCCCCUCCCCCCCUCCCUUUUUUUUUUUUUUUUUUUUUGCAAGAUCAUUCGCCCACCUGAGACUUGUUUUUGGCCCUCCUGUGGCCAGCAGGCCUCCUCAAACAUUCCCUCAACACACACACACCGCUGCCCUCCCCGGCGCACGCUCCAGCCCCCUAUGGACCACCGACAUCAACACCACCUUUGCGCAGGCCUUCCUGGGCGCAAGGCGCGGAGAGGGUUAACAGCCGCCGAUUGACACCGCAAGAGGUUACUUCAGGCACCCAGGCAUCAGCCUUGCAAGAGGAGCCACCUCGCAGGCUCAAACCCACCCAGGGGAGACACACACACACACAAACACACACUUGACAACAGUCCCGAAAGGCAGCGAGGAGCGUCCUGUUAAAAUAAAUAAAUAUAAAGGAAGAAAAGCAACCUGACACCUCUUCAGAAGCCCAGGCAAAAUGGAAUCUGCUGCUGCUGCUGCUGCCUCCCUCCACCAGCGAGGAACAGCGGCUGCGGCAGCAACAGCAAUAGUCAAAACACACACAACGGCACGAGGGGGCAGCGAGAUAAAUGGGCGAAACACCAUCGCCUUACCUUGGCUGUCUGGCUGCAAGCAGAGCCCGAUCCCCUCCACUUUUGCGAUUCUCACGAUGCUGGCAAUUUCCUGAGAGGCUCUGCAGCCUCGCUCUCCCCUCCUGGAGGAAGCGUUCCGCUGAGCUGCCGGGUAGCUUAUUUCCUAUUCUUUUUAAUAACACCUGUUUUGAAAAGAGGUGGCGGUGUGGGGAGAGGGAGG